CAUAUCUAUUUCUAAACGGCAAUUAAGCUUAUAUCCCAGAAGACAAUAACAAUUUUUUUUGUGUUUCUACCCGAGUUGCGUCUCCCCCAGAAUAUAACCCCUACAAAUGUGAAAGUGACAUGGUCGAUCGAUGGGCUGUUACCUGGUCCCAGGAGGCCAAAGUUUCCAAAUCAAGCACCAACCACCCUAUAGGAAGUCUUUAAGGGGAGGAAUCUCCAUUUUUUAAUGAAAAUAGGGAUUAGUUGUAGGGUUUACAUUACAUAGAACUUUAACAAUCUGAACCCUUUAUUUUUCAAAUUGCACCUCAUAAAUCAUCCUUACAAAACAUUAGCCAAAUAAGAAAUAUUUAAGAAUUCUAAUUGGGUUCAAAUAAAUUAACGAAUACUUUGUUAUAUAAGAAACAAUGAAAUUUUAUCUUGAUAGUUAAAUAGGCAAAUAAUUUCGGAUUGAAUUGAAUUUUUAUAAGGAUGAUCUAUGAAUCGAGACUUAUAAACUAAACGGUUCGGAUAAUUGAAGUUCAAUGUGGAGUGGGCCUCACACCUAAUCCCCAUUUUUU
This 556-nucleotide long non-coding RNA is filed under the name Malus domestica (apple). RNAcentral describes it as "long non-coding RNA (MDOM_LNC011798)". The record is from RNAcentral. Lineage: Eukaryota; Viridiplantae; Streptophyta; Magnoliopsida; Rosales; Rosaceae.